UUUGGAUUGGCCUGAGGCAGGGGACUCGGAAGGUUAAGGCCUUCUUCCACUGCGGUCUGAAGAUGAGCGAUGCCAGAAGCCUGCAAUACAGCAACAGAAGUACAAACAAAUGUGGAGAUGUGGCACUGUGCAUCAAUUUCGAGAGCACCAAACUUCAGCUGGACAGAUGGAUCUGCAUGGAGCCAUUCAGGACAAGGAGAGAGAACAGGAAUCAUCCAUUUCUGGUUUUACAUCUACACUGCAAUUUAUGAACAAAUGCGCAUGUUGCCUUCAAUGAAGGACAGAUGUCGAGCAAUGAAUCGAUCCACCCGAAUCGGCAAGUUUUCAUGCUUGAAAAGGCCAUGUUUAAUGUUUUUGAACUCUGCUUCAACAUUGGCUGAACUUGCGAUGAUGUUGGUGCUUCGGAAGUGAGGGAUCAUUACCCCUGUCCAAAGUGGUCUGUCUGCGCUUGGUCACCCACCCACUGCGUUUGAUCUGCUUUUUCCAGGUCCUCACCCUCUACAUCUGGAAUGAUGACACACUCUUCUGCAAUUCGGCCUUUCAGUCCCACUGGCAGAUCAUCUUGAUGCAGUGUGCAACAUCAACCCGGACAAAACAAGGUGGCACUUUAGCAGACUGAUUACCAACAUUUGCACGACUGGGACACUUGAGCUCUUAUUACCUGCCAGAACUCCCUGAUAUAAGAAGACAUGGCCAGACAUGCCGUUUGGUCUCUGUAGUUUCCUCACUACUGAGCCAGUUGCAUCAAAACUCACAGUGGGGGUGGCCAAAUUAGGCAGAUGGCUUGGCUCAGGAUCUCCAAAAUCCAUCAGCUUUGUUGCCUCUGAUGCCCUCCAUACAUGGGAUUCCAUUCUACCCUCACACAGUUCUUUGGAUAUCUGCACACGCAAGUUACCAGACAUCGGACGCUUGGAACAGCCAGUGUGCAGGGAGUCAUCUGUGUUUUUAAUGAAACACUUUAGCACCAUUGGGCUGUUCAUUUCAGGCUCUCGGUCACAUUUUAUGUGAAUGUGGCCAUGACACUCCUUACACUUGCCUCUGAUUUCUAUGUAUUUCUCUGUGGCUGAUGGAUAAACCUUGGCUCUUUUAAAGGCAAAUGUGCAGGGGCUUUUCACUUCUUGCCAAAUGUGAUGAUUUAUCACAUGCGUCCAGAUGCCAGGCUUCAAAAUUGUGUAUUCCGUUUUGUGUUUUAGAGAACUUGUUUUUGUAUUGAACUGUUUCAGGCAUAAAUUCAAUCCAUUUCUGAAAUGGAACUUCAAGAUCAAAAGUCCAGCUAUCUUUUGGUUUGGGGGAAAGGGACCCUGGCUCUAAAUCAGUGUCAUCACUACUGCCACUUGUUUCAUGAUCACUUUCAUCACGAAUAAACUCUAAAGCAUUCCAGAUGUUGUGUCUGUUUAAUUUAACAAAAGUGUAUAGAGCCUUUGCGGUGAUCUUGUUCUCUAGCUGCUUACUAAGCUCUGUCCAGAUGUUCUGAUUAGGAGUAGCUAUGUUGCCAUUUUUGACUAUGGCCUCUUUUGAUGAACACAGGACUGUGAAAAUGGAAUCCCUGUCGACUGCUGGUUUCUUGGGCAUCUGGCAUAAGCAAAACAUAAUUAGUCAUUUAAAUAAUCCUGACUCCAAAAAUGUCAUGUAUAGUGUAAACCUGUAUGACUGUAUUGGACCGAAUAUAAGGAUAAUAUGGAUGUUAUAUCUUAUAUUACUAACAAUACGGUAAUGUUGAUCCCUAAAUGCACAACAUAUUCUAAAAACUAACAUGGGUCAUAUGUGCAACUGUAUUUAGCAUUUAAUUGCUAAUGAUACGAGAGAUAUAAGUAUUAGCAAUGAGUUUUCUGUUCAAUAAACAUUGACAAUCUUAGCUCACUUGAAUGCUGUACCGUUGUUCUUGAAGUUACCAUUACAAAAAUUAACCAUUGUUUUAGUAUAG
Molecule: long non-coding RNA, 1924 nt
Organism: Onychostoma macrolepis
Lineage: Eukaryota; Metazoa; Chordata; Actinopteri; Cypriniformes; Cyprinidae
Exons: 9
Source: RefSeq, a predicted model, not a curated record